This 511-nucleotide ribosomal RNA is filed under the name uncultured bacterium. RNAcentral describes it as "bacterial SSU rRNA". It matches the Rfam family "Bacterial small subunit ribosomal RNA", at positions 775 to 1284 of the family's 1533-position model. The record is from RNAcentral.
AGUCAAUAGAUACCCGGGUAGUCCACGCCGUAAACGAUGAGUACUAGGUGUAGGAGGUAUCGACUCCUUCUGUGCCGCAGUUAAACACAAUAAGUACUCCGCCUGGGAAGUACGGUCGCAAGAUUAAAAACUCAAAGGAAUUGACGGGGGCCCGCACAAGCAGCGGAGCAUGUGGUUUAAUUCGAAGCAACGCGAAGAACCUUACCUAGACUUGACAUCUCCUGAAUAGCGCAGAGAUGCGUGAAGCCCUUCGGGGCAGGAAGACAGGUGGUGCAUGGUUGUCGUCAGCUCGUGUCGUGAGAUGUUGGGUUAAGUCCCGCAACGAGCGCAACCCCUAUUAUUAGUUGCUACCAUUAAGUUGAGCACUCUAAUGAGACUGCCCGGGUUAACCGGGAGGAAGGCGGGGAUGACGUCAAAUCAUCAUGCCCCUUAUGUCUAGGGCUACACACGUGCUACAAUGGUGAGAACAACGAGAUGCAAUACCGCGAGGUGGAGCAAAACUUGAAAACUC